GGGAUUGCCCUAGUAACGGCGAGUGAAGCGGCAACAGCUCAAAUUUGAAAUCUGGCUUCGGCCCGAGUUGUAAUUUGUAGAGGAUGCUUUUGGUUAUGGUCCUUCUGAGUUCCCUGGAACGGGACGCCAUAGAGGGUGAGAGCCCCGUACAGUUGGACAUUAUGCCUUUGUAAAGCUCCUUCGACGAGUCGAGUAGUUUGGGAAUGCUGCUCAAAAUGGGAGGUAAAUUUCUUCUAAAGCUAAAUACCGGCCAGAGACCGAUAGCGCACAAGUAGAGUGAUCGAAAGAUGAAAAGUACUUUGAAAAGAGGGUUAAACAGCACGUGAAAUUGUUGAAAGGGAAGCGCUUAUGACCAGACUUGUGCCUUGUGAAUCAUCCAGCGUUUUCGCUGGUGCACUUCGCUUGGUUCAGGCCAGCAUCGGUUUCCUUAGGGCGAUAAAAGCAGUGGGAACGUGGCUCUUUCGGGAGUGUUAUAGCCCACUGCAGAAUAUCCUUAGGGGGACCGAGGACCGCGCUUCGGCAAGGAUGCUGGCGUAAUGGUCAUCAGCGACCCGUCUUGAAAACACGGA
RNAcentral lists this ribosomal RNA (569 nucleotides) under uncultured Sordariales. RNAcentral's name for it is "eukaryotic LSU rRNA". It matches the Rfam family "Eukaryotic large subunit ribosomal RNA", at positions 71 to 665 of the family's 3401-position model. The record is from RNAcentral. Lineage: Eukaryota; Fungi; Ascomycota; Sordariomycetes; Sordariales.